GCGAGUGAAGCGGCAACAGCUCAAAUUUGAAAUCUGGCCCUCCUUGGGGGUCCGAGUUGUAAUUUGCAGAGGGUGCUUUGGCGUCGGCAGCGGUCUAAGUUCCUUGGAACAGGACAUCACAGAGGGUGAGAAUCCCGUACGUGGUCGCCUGCCUUCGCCGUGUAAAGCCCCUUCGACGAGUCGAGUUGUUUGGGAAUGCAGCUCUAAAUGGGAGGUAAAUUUCUUCUAAAGCUAAAUACUGGCCAGAGACCGAUAGCGCACAAGUAGAGUGAUCGAAAGAUGAAAAGCACUUUGGAAAGAGAGUCAAACAGCACGUGAAAUUGUUGAAAGGGAAGCGCUUGCAGCCAGACUUGCCCGCAGUUGCUCACCCGGGUCCGCCCGGGGCACUCUUCUGCGGGCAGGCCAGCAUCAGUUUGGGCGACCGGAUAAAGGCCUCUGUCAUGUAUCUUCCUUCGGGAUGACCUUAUAGGGGAGGCGUAAUGCGGCCAGCCCGGACUGAGGUCCGCGCAUCUGCUAGGAUGCUGGCGUAAUGGCUGUAAGCGGCCCGUCUUGAAACACGGACCAAGGAGUCUAACAUCUAUGCGAGUGUUUGGGUGUCAAGCCCGGGCGCGUAAUGAAAGUGAACGGAGGUGG
This 633-nucleotide ribosomal RNA is filed under the name Keissleriella trichophoricola. RNAcentral's name for it is "eukaryotic LSU rRNA". It matches the Rfam family "Eukaryotic large subunit ribosomal RNA", at positions 89 to 738 of the family's 3401-position model. Lineage: Eukaryota; Fungi; Ascomycota; Dothideomycetes; Pleosporales; Lentitheciaceae. The record is from RNAcentral.